Non-coding RNA from Pyrenophora teres f. teres 0-1, 88 nucleotides. The record is from Rfam. Lineage: Eukaryota; Fungi; Ascomycota; Dothideomycetes; Pleosporales; Pleosporaceae.
UCCUCCGUGGCGCAAUUGGCUAGCGCGUCUGACUGUUACAGUGCUGUGGCUCAUCAGGAGGUUGAAAGUUCGAGCCUUUCCGGGGGAG